CCCACCUGAGCCUCCCAAAGUGCUGGGAUUACAGGCGUGAGCCACUGCGCCCGGCCAUGCCUGGCUAAUUUUUGCAUGUUUAGUAGAGACGGAUUUUCA
RNAcentral lists this microRNA precursor (99 nucleotides) under Chlorocebus sabaeus (green monkey). Its description in RNAcentral is "miRNA (ENSCSAG00000021816.1)". The record is from RNAcentral. Lineage: Eukaryota; Metazoa; Chordata; Mammalia; Primates; Cercopithecidae.